CAGGUAGCCUAUGUUCUCUCUAAAUAAAACUGCAAAAACAUUAAAACUUGUAUGUUCUCUCUAAAUAUGCAUGACAUACUUGCAACUGGACAAUACGCGAUCAUCAGUUUAAAGUUAAUGUGUACAGUACAACUGUAAAAACAUUAAAACUUGCAAAACUAUUGUGCGCUCUAAAUAUGCAUAAAGUACUUGCAACUGGACAAUACGUAAUCAACAUUUUAAAGUUUAUUUAUACACUACAAAAUAAAUUUGCAUUUAAAACCGGCGUUGAUCACAUAACAGUAAUAUUCAUAAAAAAAAAGAAUCUUUAAAACUUAUGCAUGAAAUAUUUGGCACUGGACGUUAUGUUUCUUAUCGUGUGUCUUUAGUGAUGGUGGAAACCUAAAAUUUAUUAAAAACCCGGAUAACAAGUUUAUAAUUUGAUGGGCUUUUGAAAUACACACAAACUAUUGACAAAAGUAAAAAAAAAUACUGUUAAAACCCCACCAUGCAAUAUUCGGAUAAAUAUAAAAGGCAUCAUCGGAGUUUAUAAGUACAAAAUAAUUAACAAAGUUAACGAUUAAUUCAACUCCAGAACUAUGUGUAUGUUCGCUCUAAACGAAUAUGAAAUACUUGCAACUGGACAAUAAACAACUGCAGUCAAAGUUACUUAAUAAUAACAGAUUAAUUUUGCAAUUAUUAUAAUCAUUAAAAACCUACAUCGAACUAACUUAAUCUGAUAAAUGACAUCUUCAUCACGUGUGUCUCCCAUCAUAGAAUUGCCGUAAACGUUAUCAGCGAUUUUAUUUAAGAGAUACAUGUAAAAGCGCUAAAAGACGUGUAACAUUUUGGCGUUAAAUAUUGGACACUUUUGGCGAAUAACAAUUAUCGGACACGUUUGGGGGUUAUGAAAUCGGACACGUUUGGGAAAUAUUGUACAUUUCGGACACGUUUAGGGAGAAAAGACACGUUUGGGAGAAUCGGACACGUU
Molecule: long non-coding RNA, 970 nt
Filed under: Mytilus galloprovincialis (Mediterranean mussel)
Lineage: Eukaryota; Metazoa; Mollusca; Bivalvia; Mytilida; Mytilidae
Source: RNAcentral